This 468-nucleotide ribosomal RNA is filed under the name uncultured bacterium. Its description in RNAcentral is "partial 16S ribosomal RNA". It matches the Rfam family "Bacterial small subunit ribosomal RNA", at positions 28 to 507 of the family's 1533-position model. The record is from RNAcentral.
GACGAACGCUGGCGGCGUGCUUAACACAUGCAAGUCGAACGGAAAGGCCCUGCUUUUGUGGGGUGCUCGAGUGGCGAACGGGUGAGUAACACGUGAGUAACCUGCCCUUGACUUUGGGAUAACUUCAGGAAACUGGGGCUAAUACCGGAUAGGAGCUCCUGCUGCAUGGUGGGGGUUGGAAAGUUUCGGCGGGUGGGGAUGGACUCGCGGCUUAUCAGCUUGUUGGUGGGGUAGUGGCUUACCAAGGCUUUGACGGGUAGCCGGCCUGAGAGGGUGACCGGCCACAUUGGGACUGAGGUACGGCCCAGACUCCUACGGGAGGCAGCGGUGGGGAGUAUUGCACAAUGGGCGGAAGCCUGAUGCAGCAACGCCGCGUGCGGGAUGACGGCCUUCGGGUUGUAAACCGCUUUCGCCUGUGACGAAGCGUGAGUGACGGUAAUGGGUAAAGAAGCACCGGCUAACUACGUG